RNAcentral lists this signal recognition particle RNA (292 nucleotides) under Aotus nancymaae (Ma's night monkey). RNAcentral's name for it is "Metazoan signal recognition particle RNA (ENSANAG00000005747.1)". It matches the Rfam family "Metazoan signal recognition particle RNA". Rfam says of the family: The signal recognition particle (SRP) is a universally conserved ribonucleoprotein. It is involved in the co-translational targeting of proteins to membranes. The record is from RNAcentral. Lineage: Eukaryota; Metazoa; Chordata; Mammalia; Primates; Aotidae.
GCCGGGCGUGGUGGUGUGUGCCAGCUACUCUCGAGAGGCUGAAGUGGGAGGAUCACUUGAGCCCAGGAGUUCUGAGCUAUAGUGUGCUAUGCCAGUCAGGUGUCCACACUAAGUUCAGCAUCAAUAUGGUGACCUGCCGGGAGCAGGGGACCACCAGGUUACCUAAGGAGGGAUAAACCAGCCCAGGUCGGAAAUGGAGCAGGUCAGAACUCCCGUGCUGAUCAGUAGUGGGAUCGCGCCUAUGAAUAGCCACUGCACUCCAGCCUGGGCAACAUAGUGAGACCCCGUCUCC